CUCUGUGACUCCUACGGGAGGCAGCAGUGGGGAAUAUUGCACAAUGGGCGCAAGCCUGAUGCAGCCAUGCCGCGUGUAUGAAGAAGGCCUUCGGGUUGUAAAGUACUUUCAGCAGUGAGGAAGGUUCAUGCGUUAAUAGCGUAUGGAUUUGACGUUAGCUGCAGAAGAAGCACCGGCUAACUCCGUGCCAGCAGCCGCGGUAAUACGGAGGGUGCGAGCGUUAAUCGGAAUUACUGGGCGUAAAGCGCAUGCAGGUGGUUUGUUAAGUCAGAUGUGAAAGCCCGGGGCUCAACCUCGGAAUUGCAUUUGAAACUGGCAGACUAGAGUACUGUAGAGGGGGUAGAAUUUCAGGUGUAGCGGUGAAAUGCGUAGAGAUCUGAAGGAAUACCGGUGGCGAAGGCGGCCCCCUGGACAGAUACUGACACUCAGAUGCGAAAGCGUGGGGAGCAAACAGGAUUAGAUACCCUGGUAG
RNAcentral lists this ribosomal RNA (472 nucleotides) under uncultured bacterium. RNAcentral's name for it is "bacterial SSU rRNA". It matches the Rfam family "Bacterial small subunit ribosomal RNA", at positions 328 to 793 of the family's 1533-position model. The record is from RNAcentral.